GGUGAUAAGGGCGUAUGGUGGAUGCCUAGACACAACAGAGCGAUGAAGGACGUGGCGUGGCUGCGAUAAGCUUCGGGGAGCUGCUUAGCAAGCUUUGAUCCGGAGAUUUCCGAAUGGGGGAACCCCGUCAGGUAAACCCUGAUGACUCUAAUUUACUUUAGAGAGCGUACCUGGGGAAGUGAAACAUCUCAGUACCCAGAGGAACAGAGAAAAAUUUUUAUUCCCUGAGUAGCGGCGAGCGAAACGGGAAGAGCCCAAACCAUUUACUAUUCUUCGCACUAAGUGCAUGUUUCAUGCAUUUGGUGUGGAGUAUAUAAGUGGGGUUGUAAGAUAAAAAUUUUUUUGAGUUUUAAGUCUCGACGAAUUGUCGGGAUUCCCGACUUUCAUUUUUUUAGAAAGUGCGUCGGGACUUGAACUUAAGACAGAGGUUAUAAAUGUAUUAUUUAGUGGAAUCUGCUGGAAAGCAGAACCAGAGACGGUGAUAGUCCCGUACACGAAAGGUAAUACACCUUUGGUUUUUAUUCUUGAGUACUUCGAGGCAAACAAACCUUGAGGGAAUCUACCAGUACUAUCUGGUAAGGCUAAAUAUAUGUUGUGAUCGAUAGUGAACAAGUACCGUGAGGGAAAGGUGAAAAGUAUCCCGGUGAGGGAGAUGAAAUAGUAUCUGAAACCAUACGCUUACAAGGAGGUGGAGCUCGCAAGAGUGACACCGUGCCUAUUGAAGAAUGAACCAACGACUUAUCGUACAUGGCUAGUCUAAGUUCUACGGAACGGAGGCGUAGGGAAACCAAGUGUUAAUAGCGCGUUCAGCCGUGUGUGAUAGACCCGAAGCCAAGCGAGCUUGCCCUGGUCAGGAUGAACCAACUGUAAAAGGUUGGGGAGGUCCGCACCAGUAGGUUGUGUAAAGCCUUUGGAUGAACUGGGGUAAGAAGUGAAAAGCUAAUCGAGCUUGGUAAUAGCUGGUUCUCUCCGAAACAGUUUUAGGACUGGCGUUAGGCGUUAAACAUACUGGAGGUAGAGCUACUGGUUGAGAAGUAUAGGGAGAAAUCUCGACUUUUCAGUCAAACUCCGAAUGCCAGUAUCGUUUGUCUAGCAGUUAGACCGUGGGGGCUAAGCUCCAUGGUCGCAAGGGAAACAGCCCAGAUCGCAGUCUAAGGUCCCUAAAUUGUUGCUAAGUGUAAAAGGUAGUAAUCGACCAGAGACAGAUAGUAGGUUGGCUUAGAGGCAGCCAUCCUUUAAAGAGUGCGUAACAGCUCACUAUUCGAUGGUCGGUUGCGCCGAAAAUGUAUCGGGGCUUAAGCAACAUACCGAAGACGCGGGUUUACUUUUUUUCGAAAGAGUAAGCGGUAGGAGAGCAUUUUACGGGCGUUGAAGUCUGAGCCGUGAGGCAGGAUGGAGCGCGUAGAAGAGAGAAUGUUGGUAUGAGUAACCACAUUGCUUGUGAGAAACGAGCACCCCGAAAGUCCAAGGUUUCCGUGGCAAUGGCAAUCAGCCACGGGUUAGGCGAUCCUAAGGCAAUGGCAAACGCUGUAGUCGAUGGGUAGUCGGUUAAUAUUCCGGCCCGUCUUAUAUAUUCGAUGGAGGGACGGAGCGUAGUAGGUUUUGUGCCUUAAUGGUUUGGCAUCUGUGACUUAGGAGGACGUUUAGGUAAAUCCGGACGUCGUCUUCAAUGACAACUCCAAGGAAAGCAGUUAGAGGAGGUUAUUGCCUUCUCAAGAAGACUGAGCACGCUUCCAAGAAAAGCUUCUAAGAUUAGUAUGUAAGACUUCGUACCAAAACCAACACAGGUGGACAGGGCGAGUAGCCCAAGGGGAACGAGUGAGUCCUCGUCAAGGAACUCGGCAAAUUAGCGGCCGUAACUUCGGGAUAAGGCCUGCCUAUCGCAAGAUAGGCCGCAGCGAAAGAAUCCCUGGCGACUGUUUACCAAAAACACAGCUCCCUGCGAACUCGAAAGAGGAUGUAUAGGGGGUGACGCCUGACCGAUGCGAGAAGGUUAACGGUGGGGGUGAUCNNNNNNNNNNNNNNNNNNNNNNNNNNNNNNAACUAUAAUCGUUCUAAGGUAGCGCAUUUCCUUUCCGGGUAAGUUCCGGAGCGCACGAAUGGCGUAACGACUGGGGAACUGUCUCGACGAGGAGCUCGGUGAAAAUGCGAUGCCCGUGAAGACGCGGGCUACCUGCAGCAAGACGAAAAGACCCCGGAAGCUUUACUGCAGCUUGAUAUUGGGUUUAGGGCUUAUCUGCGUAGCAUAGUGAGGAGACUUUGAAGCUUAGGUUUUGGCUUAAGUGGAGUCGCUAGUGAAAUACUCAUCUUUUAAAUCUUAAAUUCUAACCCCGACGGAAAAAACGGCGUGGGACAGUGUCUGGUAGGCAGUUUGAAUGGGGCGUUCUCCUCCCAAAAUGUAACGGAGGAGUUUAUCAAGGUUGGCUUGGCCCGGAUUGAAAUCGGGCUGGACGGGUAAACCCAUAAGCCAGCUUAACGGCAAGACAUACACGUCGCGCCGGUACGAAAGUAGAAGUUAGUGACCCGAUGGCACUUUAUAGGAAGGCCUGAGACAUCGGAUAAAAGCUACUCCGGGGAUAACAGGCUGGUCUCCUCCGAGCGUCCAUAGCGACGAGGAGGUUCGGCACCUCGAUGUCGGCUCGUCACAUCCUGGGGGUGAAGAAGCUCCCAAGGGUUUGGCUGUUCGCCAAUUAAAGUGGCACGCGAGCUGGGUUCAGACCGUCAACAAUGAACCCUAAACAUUCGUAACGUGAAUGUUCGAGCGACUGAAAGGUUUAGCUCAGAAGACAUCGAUCUCAUACGGCGGCUUUCGCGAGUAAUCGUGAUCGAAUAAAUCGACUCAUAUCGGUGAAAUCCUUACACGCGUUGAAAAACAACCUGUCGUGUGUUAGGGUAAUACCGAGGGAAGUCACAUUCCUUUUUGUCUCAAGACUAGAUUCAUGAAUCGUAUCAAUGCUGCUUACCUCGCGGGAUUCCUUGAUGGUGAUGGUAGUAUUUAUGUUCGUCUUAAACCGAACAAUACAUACCGUUAUAAAUUCCAGAUCAGUCCUCAAAUCGUCUUUUUUCAGUCAAAGAAAGAAGAGCUUUUUAUGGAUCGAUUGUGGCAACUCAUCGACAAAGGAUAUAUCCGCAAAAGAAAGGAUGGUAUCAUCGAACUUACGAUUGGUGACGAAGAUUCAAUUCGCACGUUCAUCAAAGUUGUUCUGCCUUAUUUAAGGCUUAAGCAAAAGCAAGCAAGACUUAUGAUUAAUAUUCUUAACAAGAGAAAGAGUAUUAAAAAUGGUUUUGACUUUCUUACUGUUGCGAAAAUGAUUGAUGAAUUUAAGAAUUUGAAUUACUCAAAGAAGCGAAGUCAAACUUCGCGCGAAGUUGAAAAAGUCUUGAGAACAGAAGGUUUAUUGACCCCUUAGAGACUUGGUCCGAAGCACUUCGGGUCAGAUGGAAAUCUUUUUAGAUUCCAUAACACGUCGAUCCCCCAAUAUUUAUGUUGGGGUGGUGGUAUAGUCCAUACCCGUAGUAAUACGGGAUUACAUCUUAGAAAUUUUUAACAUUUUCUAGAUAUAUGCGUGAGACAGGUUGGUCUCUAUCUGCUGCAGGCGUUAUUAUCUGAGGGGAGCUGUCCCUAGUACGAGAGGACCGGGAUGGACGAACCGCUGGUCUACCAGCUUUGGUACCAACUGAAUCGCUGGGUAGCUAUGUUCGGCAUGGAUAAGCGCUGAAAGCAUCUAAGCACGAAGCCAACCCCAAGAUUAGAUAAUUCUUAGCUUCGGCUAAGAGCGGUUCGUGGAAGACUACCACGUUGAUAGGCUCUCGGUGUACGCACCGUAAGGUGUUUAGCCAAGGAGUACUAAUAGACCGUA
This 3860-nucleotide ribosomal RNA is filed under the name Candidatus Harrisonbacteria bacterium CG10_big_fil_rev_8_21_14_0_10_42_17. RNAcentral's name for it is "bacterial LSU rRNA". The stretch from base 1 to 2823 matches the Rfam family "Bacterial large subunit ribosomal RNA". The record is from RNAcentral. Lineage: Bacteria; Candidatus Harrisoniibacteriota.